AUGUUUUCUGUAGCUCUGCUGCUGCUGUUGGCAGCUGGAUCCUGUGUGAAGUGUGAACAGUUGACACAGCCAGCCACUGUGACUGUGCAGCCAGGUCAACGUCUCACCAUCACCUGUCAGGUCUCUUAUUCUCUUGGCUACUACACAGCUUGGAUCAGACAGCCUGCAGGGAAAGGACUGGAGUGGAUUGGAAUGAGAAAUACUGGAGGCUCUCACUACAAAGAUUCACUAAAGAACAAAUUCAGUAUCGACUUAGACUCUUCCAGCAACAGAGUGACUCUAAAUGGACAGAAUGUGCAGCCUGAAGACACUGCUGUGUAUUACUGUGCCAGAACUCUGACAGAAUCUGAACCAGCAGUUAAAAGGCCUGGAGAAUCCCACAGACUGACCUGUACAGGCUCUGGAUUCACAUUCAGCAGCUACCAUAUGAACUGGGUCAGACAGGCUCCUGGCAAAGGACUGGAGUGGAUCGCUUUUGUGCACACAGGCAGUUCUUAUAAAUAUUACUCCGGGUCAGUCCAGGGCAGAUUCACCGUCUCCAGAGAUGACUCCAGCAGUAAAGUCUAUCUACAGAUGAACAGUCUGAAGACCGAGGACACAGCAGUGUAUUACUGUGCCAGAGAGUCACAGUGA
Non-coding RNA from Seriola aureovittata, 633 nucleotides. NCBI's taxonomy places the organism in Eukaryota, Metazoa, Chordata, Actinopteri, Carangiformes, Carangidae. The record is from the annotation of a RefSeq genome assembly.